This 438-nucleotide unclassified non-coding RNA is filed under the name Ophiocordyceps tricentri. Its description in RNAcentral is "partial contains ITS1, 5.8S rRNA and ITS2". The stretch from base 124 to 278 matches the Rfam family "5.8S ribosomal RNA". The record is from RNAcentral. Lineage: Eukaryota; Fungi; Ascomycota; Sordariomycetes; Hypocreales; Ophiocordycipitaceae.
CAGAGAGUGAAAUCUCCCAACCCACUGUGAACUGUACCUAUUUUGCCUCGGCAGGCCUAGUGCCUGCCAAAGGAACCCAAACUCGUUAUAAUAGUCUUCUGAGUAAUGAAAAAGAAAAAUCAAAACUUUUAGCAACGGAUCUCUUGGCUCUAGCAUCGAUGAAGAACGCAGCAAAAUGCGAUAAGUAAUGCGAAUUGCAGAUUUCAGUGAGUCAUCGAGUUUUUGAACGCAUAUUGCGCCUGCUGGUUAUUCCAGCAGGCAUGCCUGUCCGAGCGUUAUUUACAGUACUAAAGACACUAUAUGUGCCUUUUUGUUGGAGAUUAGCUUAGCGGCUACCUCUUAAAUUCAGUAGCGGCGGUUGCUUCUAUUCCCUUGUGAAGUAAUAAUUCACAACGUGGAGGAUUAGUAGCUAGUCUGUACCCCUAAAACCCUCUAGUU